UACAGACACGCUUUCCUUUCUCUCGGGCUGAGAACUGCUGGGCCACGUGGCAACCGUGCUUCGUCACUUGGGGAGCUACCAGGCUCUUCCAGAGCAGCCGUGUGCUUCACAGUGCCACCAGCAGUGUGUGGGUGCGCCCAAGGACCGCUCAGACUCCUGUUGUUUCCUGCAGACGGUCUGCACCACUCCUUCCUGCCUGUGCGACUCCACACCUAUGUGGAAACGGACCCCACCAGGCACCAGCUCCUCGUCCUCUUCCUCACCCCGGCCGGCCUCCUACCAAGAGCUGAGAUGCUGAGUGCAUCCAAGUAGCUGGCAUUGCCACAUGCACACCCCACUGCCUGCGACCCUCUCCCUGGACGCCUGGAGGGAGACCCAGCACGUACUCCCUCUUCCCAGGUGCACUGACCUGCCUGGGGCCUGUGUGGUACACCUGCAUUCCUAGGGUGCCACGUGUUCCCCUGGUGGCUCUGUGGGGCGGGUGGCAGAACACAGGCUGGUGGACAGACAGCUCCCUCUAAUCUCCGGUGAGUCAGUGCUGUUUGUGAGGGGGCUGCCGACUUGUCUCCCUGAGCUUCAGUUGACACAUCUAUAAAAAAAUCUUGGAACAAAAAUACGUGUGUGCAGUCCCCAAUAGGCUGUGAGUGCCAGGCACAGGCUCCCCGCACGCCUUCCUUUCCACGGAGGACGGCAGGGGAGUGCGGAGCCUGGCGAUGCAGGAAGGAAGAGGCUCUGGGACCCACGCU
Molecule: long non-coding RNA, 746 nt
Filed under: Marmota monax (woodchuck)
Lineage: Eukaryota; Metazoa; Chordata; Mammalia; Rodentia; Sciuridae
Source: RNAcentral